RNAcentral lists this ribosomal RNA (475 nucleotides) under uncultured bacterium. Its description in RNAcentral is "bacterial SSU rRNA". It matches the Rfam family "Bacterial small subunit ribosomal RNA", at positions 28 to 507 of the family's 1533-position model. The record is from RNAcentral.
GAUAAACGCUGGCGGCGCACAUAAGACAUGCAAGUCGAACGAACUUAACUCAUUCUUUUAGUUUGAGAGCGGUUAGUGGCGGACUGGUGAGUAACACGUAAGCAACCUGCCUAUUAGAGGGGAAUAACAGUGAGAAAUCAUUGCUAAUACCGCAUAUGCUCACAGCACCACAUGGUACAGUGAGGAAAGGAGUAAUCCGCUAAUAGAUGGGCUUGCGUCUGAUUAGCUAGUUAGUGGGGCAACGGCCUACCAAGGCGACGAUCAGUAGCCGAACUGAGAGGUUGAACGGCCACAUUGGGACUGAGAUACGGUCCAGACUCCUACGGGAGGCAGCAGUGGGGAAUAUUGGGCAAUGGGCGAAAGCCUGACCCAGCGACGCCGCGUGAAGGAAGAAGGCCUUCGGGUUGUAAACUUCUGUUGUAAGGGACGAAACAAAUAGACGGUACCUGUGGAGGAAGCCACGGCUAACUACGUG